UGAACAUGCACUUCCGGGGCGAGGUUAAUCAGCGCCGGGAAGGUGAACUCGCGGGCUGCUUGUCCGAUGAGGCGCAACCUCUUGUGAGAGACCCUUCACUGCCUAAUUUUAUGCUCUCGCCUGCACUUUGUAGCUGGGUCACUGCGGAGGCCCAGCUCCGCCUCUGACAGUCUUUAUCUGGUGCUACCAAAGGCUGGACCAGAACUUGACUCCUCUUGAACUGUGUUGUCUUUCGGGCUCUGACUGGAUGGUUUCCAGUUCCGGGCGUACUCUUGUGCUGAUACCUCGAAUCACAGCAAGAAAUUCUGAAAGCAGCGCUUUGUUAUUCCUUGAAACACUGGGUCAUCCGCUUGGCUUCUCUAACUGCUCUGUAAUCUUCUCUUUCCUAUGAUAGAAUGACAUCCCAGUCCCUCUGUCGCAUAAUCAGCAGGCACGAUUACCCCAAGUCCAGACAACCGUCGGAUACCUCCAGAAGUUUCCCUGCUUUCUCUCCUGCCGCUGAUCAUUUUCUUUUUUGGGAGUGGGGGUGGGAGUUGAACCCAGGGCUUCCAUGAUAGCUAAACAGUCUCUUCCACUGAGCAACAUUUAACAGCCUCUGCGAUCUUUUCCAAUCGUAAAAUUGCUUGACUUCUCUGCUGGAAGUGUUCGCUUUUGCUUACCCACUGUACUUAAAUACUGUCAAACUCCUUACCGUGACCUCAUAGACUUUCCCGUCUCAAACUCGCCUUUUGUCACCAGCUAAUGCUAUGGAGGAUUCUCAGAUUAAAGGUACCUUUUAUGAGAAUCCUAACCACACUACUUGAAAUAGGACUCACCCUUAUUCUCUAGUAUAGAACUAUUUUCUUUUAUAAUACUUAACAUGGUUCCCCAUAAACGAUUUGUUUAUGAUCUGUCCUCUGUACUCAUGUCUUUUCUUCAUUCUGAUACACUCAAGACGCAGCUAACUCAGUAAAUAUUUAUUAAAUGCUUAUAAUCCCGCCUCAGGUGUGCAUUAGUUUCAUGGGAUGUGGUAUUAUGGAACGAGCCAGCAGAGGGAGAAUAAAUGAAGUAAAUCUUCAAAAAGCAAUGGUGUAACUCAGUAGUACAGAAAGAAUGUAGAGAAAAAUAUUGUACGUUUGAUUAGUCUUCCAGAAACAUUCCUAGGAGAAUAAGGCUGGGAACCCAGGUGAUUUAACUCUGAAGCCCACACUUCUAAUCAGUUCCCUGAAGGAAAUACCAUUUAUUGUUUAUUACAUUGAACCUCUGUACUGUGUUCUUCAAUGAAAAAAAAA
This 1271-nucleotide long non-coding RNA is filed under the name Marmota monax (woodchuck). The record is from RNAcentral. Lineage: Eukaryota; Metazoa; Chordata; Mammalia; Rodentia; Sciuridae.